Long non-coding RNA from Apis cerana (Asiatic honeybee), 1910 nucleotides. RefSeq lists it as uncharacterized. NCBI's taxonomy places the organism in Eukaryota, Metazoa, Arthropoda, Insecta, Hymenoptera, Apidae. The record is from RefSeq and is a predicted model, not a curated record.
AGCUGCGCGUACAGAGAUCCGAUUCCCCUAAAUGGGAUAACGAUCGAAAGGCGACCGAGAUCGCGGUGUUAACCCUUAACGUGCACCCCUUGAAGACUCAUCGAGCCACGGAAUCUUUUGUCGCUGUAGUUCGCUGUUACCAUUUGUGGUCUCUUCGAUUGGAUCUCCGCUUGUCCUUAUGGCACUAUCCUCGCGCGGAUCCUUCGCAAUUGGAUGCAGUGUUCGCUACUGUUCUGUCAAACGGUGACUCGUACGCGUGCGCACUAGAAACUGAAUGUGAGGAUGCAGAUUAACUAACUUUCGUAAAAAAGAAGUGUACGAGCAAUAUAUAGAGAACAUGUAUGGAGACAACCGUUAAGGGUUCCAGAUUGUAAGAUAGAGGGUGCUGGUGAACAAGCCAUAGCUAGAGACCUCUGCACUCAUAAAUUCGCCAGUUCGUUUGAGAACAUGCCGCUACGGUAACUCAAUAUUGGAACGCCUUAACUAUCGAGUCCUAACUCUGUGCGCACUUUUCUGUGCCGUAAUUCCGUGCGAUGUAUAAAGCAGCCUCGAGCGAGGCACGCGUUUCUCCGUGUCCAGCUACCUUUAAUGAGGCCGACUCCUGGCGUGGGUGAACGAAGAGAAAGAGAGCCGACGAUUAAUAGUACACUGAAGACGAUAUAGAGAAGCCUGGCGACGAUACCCUGGAGAAACAACAUUGCACGCCGAUAUUGAUCGCUUGCUAUCGAGAUCGUCUCUAUUCGAUCUGCGCUUCUCUACCGACUGUUCGAUUUCGCGUCUGGCCUCACAUGCUUCACAAGUAAACACAAUGAGUGAAUGUUAGAGAUUUUGAGAAAUUAUACAUGCCACCAUACAAGAUCAAACUAGAAAUAUCAAGUUCACAGCUGAUCUUCGUGGAACGUAAACAAAACGCGGCAGAAUGGAAAAGCAACGGGUAGGUUGGUCGAGCAACUUGUCCUGGAGGUAUAAUGCGCUUUGCACGUGUCCCCGGUUGUGGCAAAGAGGAUAUCAACGCGGAAGCAGCGGGCACCGCGACGAGAAUCGCGGUUGUUCCUUGCAGUUUCUCUUCUGGGGCCGAGCGUUCUUUCCAAGUGCUCGGUUGCAGCUUGCUCCUGCGACCUGUUACGCGGCCUGAUGGUUUUGUUUCGAACCAGGGACGCACGCUUGCCACUAUACUCUCGCAAGACAUUGAUUCAUCCUCCUUCUUCGUGUCUCCACCGUUAGUCGGCGCAAUUGUACUCCAUUGCAUGUUUUGCUCAUGUUUUCCUGUUUCAAAAAUAGUUGAUCUCGAAGUGAUUCUUUAAGAAGUGAUUCUUUUAAGAAUUGAAUUUUUGUGAGUUUGAGAGUUUUUUUAAUUUACUAAGGAAUUUUUAUUGAAAAAUUUGAAAAUUUGAUGUUGAAAUUUUUUUGUAUAAUUAUGAUAAAUUUAUAAUUGAAAAACUGAAAGGAAAUAUUAAUUUUUAAAUUAUAUAUAAUUCUUUGCCAGAAAUUAUCGAUUAUAUGAUUCAUUUUUUCAAUUCCGUAUUGACAAUUUUUAAAAUUUUAGCUUUCUAUACAUAUUCGAAAUUAUAUUGUUUUUUAAUAAAAUAAAUUUUUAUUAUUAUUGGCCAGAUCGAUUAAAUAUAAAAGUCUAUUCUUAGAAUAAUCGAAACAACGUGACAUUGAUUAUUCUAAAAAAGAGAUUUUCGGAUGAAUCAUGUUUUCGUUUUUUCAAUUUCGCUUUAGCUGUCAUUUAUGAUUCUCCAAUAUUUUGAUUUUUAAAAACUAAUUACGACAAACAUUACUCAAAUAUUGAUAAAAAUAUUAAAAUUGUACAUAUAAUUAUAAAUAUUAAUUUUAAUAUUUAAGAAUUUAAUUUCAUUAAUAAAAAUAAUAUAUUCAGAAUAAAAAAUAAUUCUACAAAUCAAAAA